AACCAUCCAUCCUUCAAUCGGGUCGGUGACAGCGAGACCCAGGUCUGAAGCCACAUGGGCUGCUUGUGUUUUCUCAGCAGUGUAGCAUUUCUUUGCACGUUAGCAAAAGAUUUCUAGUUCAAUGUGUUUUUUUCGGCACAGCUAGACAGACUCGACGAACGACAACCCUCCUCACAGUCGUCAGGGAAAUACACUUAGCUAAGCAGUGCCUGUUCAACACAAGUCAGAAGUACCAUGUCUACCGGUGAGUCACAGAUGAAUGAAGCGGAUGCACAGUUUAACUUUCCACAAGAAUGUGAAAGCGGGGUACUCCUUCUCCGUCCAGCUGAUUCCUGUAUAAAGCGAUGGCUACUGCUUUUCCGGAAGACGACUUCAAAAAAGGACCGUCAGGGGCCGGAUUCGCCUACUCGGCGCCGGCAGCGCCUCUUACUGGCUAUCAUCAUCCUGUUAGGUUUGACCGCCAUGGUGCUGCUCCUUCUGUGGAACUACCAGUGCAUUUUCAUCGAGCGCCUCUGCCAAGGGCAUGAGGAGAGCUCCGUCUUCCCGGUUUUUCCAGGAUGGAUGUCCACGUCCACGCCCACCGCAGGGAGCCUGGGCUGAGAUCGGAGAGGGAAACGGACAGUCCUUCUCACCCUCAACCCCGUCCCCAUCACCUAUGUUGUAGGUGUUGAGGACCGCAGAAUAGCCUGUGUUUGGGAGGCUUUGUUAAUAUGUUCCCUGGUUAUUAAAGUAGGCUACUAUUUAACUAGUAGAGGGGUUACCGGGGAUAUUGUGCAGCCUGUGAAGUGUUGAGUGACUGUCGGUUGCGUUAUUUGCGUCAAAUUCUUGCAGUAGCUCAGCAAUAGAGACCGGAUUUUACAACUAUACUCCUAUACAUUUGCCGAAGAACCCAGCUCUUGCUGAGGGCACAUAAGUUGCCAUGACAAUUAGGUCACUACAUACUCUUCAAGCCAGUUCGCUUUUAAUUUAAGUUUAGGAAAGUGGGCACUGCACUGUCCUUAGAUGCAGCUGUAUGUCACCCACAUGUACUGUCCAUCGGUAACUUCCGGAUUAACUAUCUCGUGCUAUCACAACCCCCCUGCGGAUGCACUGCACAACCUGCAUUUUCUUUUCUUUUUUCUUUUUUUAAAAUUUAUUUUGGUGUGCUCUGUUUCUGUUCUCUUGUAUUUGUUCUAUAACUAUUUAAAAUGUCUUCAUUUUAGGAUUUUUUUUUUUUAUCUAUGUAAUUGCUGUACUCUUAUUCUUCCCAUUAAAAAACAACUUUGACACUGCUCUGCGAACAUGUGCUCUAUAAAUAAAAUGUGUUCCUGGAGGUAUCAAUACAUGAACAGGAUUGCCCAACCCUGUCCCUGGAAAUCUACCAUCCUGUAGGUUUUCACUCCAACACUAACAAAGCACACCUCAUUCAACAGCUAUUGAUCUGAGCUGCUAAUUAAUAGAAUGAGGUGUGCCAAAUUAGGGUUGAAGUGAAAACAUACAGGACUGCCAGAUCUCCAGGAACAGGGUUGGGCCGCCCUGGGGCGUAUUUCACAAAACAGGAUUACUGAGGGUGCCUCCCAAUUCUCAAAGAAUUCAUCCUCCUUUCUUGCACUGCCUCCUUGUCUCCUCUGUGCCCUGGAAACCAAUCUUUGUGUCCUCUUUCCCUCUAGUGUCGCAAUACUGGAGGAGACGAGCGAAGCGCACAGAACUAUAUUGGUGGCUUCAAACUUGUCUCCUCCCCUACUUUCCUCCACAUACUUUGGGGUGUGAGACGAGCAGUAGUGGGGCAGUGGAGGAAAGGAGGUGAAGAGUGAAGAGUAAGGGCAGGCAACCUGAGUUUGCUGGAUAACUAAUCAUAAUUGCCUU
Long non-coding RNA from Anguilla anguilla (European eel), 1845 nucleotides. RefSeq lists it as uncharacterized. The transcript is spliced from 3 exons. Lineage: Eukaryota; Metazoa; Chordata; Actinopteri; Anguilliformes; Anguillidae. The record is from RefSeq and is a predicted model, not a curated record.